Molecule: ribosomal RNA, 238 nt
Filed under: uncultured bacterium
Lineage: Bacteria
Description: partial 16S ribosomal RNA
Rfam family: Bacterial small subunit ribosomal RNA
Source: RNAcentral
CGUUAAUCGGAAUUACUGGGCGUAAAGCGCGCGUAGGCGGUUUGAUAAGUGAGAUGUGAACUCCCCGGGCUCAACCUGGGAACUGCAUCUCAUACUGUCAGGCUAGAGUACGGUAGAGGGGGGUAGAAUUCCACGUGUAGCGGUGAAAUGCGUAGAGAUGUGGAGGAAUACCAGUGGCGAAGGCGGCCCCCUGGAUCGAUACUGACGCUGAGGUGCGAAAGCGUGGGGAGCAAACAGG